This 582-nucleotide ribosomal RNA is filed under the name Triticum aestivum (bread wheat). Its description in RNAcentral is "partial small subunit ribosomal RNA". The stretch from base 138 to 277 matches the Rfam family "Small nucleolar RNA Z247". The record is from RNAcentral. Lineage: Eukaryota; Viridiplantae; Streptophyta; Magnoliopsida; Poales; Poaceae.
AUGUUCUCGUCAACCUCGAUGUCCUGCGUCAACAACAUCCGCGCCGCUCUCAUGAACGCGCAGAAGGGGACACAAUCGGUGGCCACGUACUUUGCGCACAUGCGCUCCCUCGCCGAUGAACUUGCCACAGCGGAGCGGCCAUUGAAGGAGGACGAGCUGAUCUCCUACACCCUCAAUGGCCUCGACAUGGACUACCAGCCGCUAGUCUCUGCCCUUGACGCCCACACCAUCCUGGUCACCCUUGAUGAAUUGUUUACUCAGAUGAGUAACUUUGAUCAAAGGGUAGCUUUGUUCCAAGGGGCAGGGACCGGAGGAGGUUUCAAGUCUUCGGCAAACAUCGCCACCCGCGGCCGCGCCGGUGGCGGCUCUCGCUACCGUGGACCUCCUCGUCAGAAGGGCAAGAGCUCCGGCGGGGGCAACAGCACCGGCCAGAACAGCGGCAACAUGCACGGCGGCAGCCGGCCCUCCUCCAAAAACAAUAGGGGCCGGCGCACCAGCUCCUCCAACAGCAACAGAUCGCGCCCGGACGCUGUUCGGUGCCAAAUCUAUGGCAAGCUGGGCCACUCAGCUAAAGAUUGCUAG